GCCGCAAUUACCCACUCCCGGCACGGGGAGGUAGUGACGAAAAAUAACGAUACGGGACUCAUCCGAGGCCCCGUAAUCGGAAUGAGUAUACUCUAAAUCCUUAUACGAGUAUCAAUUGGAGGGCAAGUCUGGUGCCAGCAGCCGCGGUAAUUCCAGCUCCAAUAGCGUAUAUUAAAGUUGUUGCGGUUAAAAAGCUCGUAGUUGGAUCUGUGUCCCGCGCCGUCGGUUCACCGCCUGUCGGUGUUCAACUGGCGUGUAUGCGGGACGUCCUGCCGGUGGCGGUCCGGUUCCCCGCAUGUUCGUAGGGGUCGUCCUCGCGGUGGCCCCGAAGGCGUGCGCGGUGUAUCCGGCCGCCUUUUCGAUCCCGUCGCGGUGCUCUUCACCGAGUGUCGAGGCGGGCCGGCACGUUUACUUUGAACAAAUUAGAGUGCUUUAAGCAGGCCCUGUCAUGCCUGUAUGUUGUGUGCAUGGAAUAAUGGAAUAGGACCUCGGUUCUAUUUUGUUGGUUUUCGGAAUCUGAGGUAAUGAUCAAUGGGGACAGGCGGGGGCAUUCGUAUUGCGACGUUAGAGGUGAAAUUCUUGGAUCGUCGCAAGACGGACCGAAGCGAAAGCAUUUGCCAAGUAUGUUCUCGUCGAUCAAGAACGAAAGUUAGAGGUUCGAAGGCGAUCAGAUACCGCCCUAGUUCUAACCAUAAACUAUGCCUGCCAGCGAUCCGCCGAAGUUCCUCCGAUGACUCGGCGGGCAGCUUCCGGGAAACCAGAGCUUUUGGGUUCCGGGGGAAGUAUGGUUGCAAAGCUGAAACUUAAAGGAAUUGACGGAAGGGCACCACCAGGAGUGGAGCCUGCGGCUUAAUUUGACUCAACACGGGAAAACUCACCAGGCCCGGACACCGGAAGGAUUGACAGAUUGAGAGCUCUUUCUUGAUUCGGUGGGUGGUGGUGCAUGGCCGUUCUUAGUUGGUGGAGCGAUUUGUCUGGUUAAUUCCGAUAACGAACGAGACUCUAGCCUACUAACUAGGCGUACCCGGUAUCCACAAUCGUGCUACCGGCGAUCAAAUUUCUUCUUAGAGGGACAGGCGGCUUCUAGCCGCACGAGACUGAGCAAUAACAGGUCUGUGAUGCCCUUAGAUGUCCUGGGCCGCACGCGCGCUACACUGAAGGAAUCAGCGUGUCUUCCCUGUCCGAAAGGACCGGGUAAUCCGCUGAACCUCCUUUGUGCUAGGGAUUGGGGCUUGCAAUUGUUCCCCAUGAACGAGGAAUUCCCAGUAAGCGCGAGUCAUAAGCUCGCGUUGAUUACGUCCCUGCCCUUUGUACACACCGCC
Molecule: ribosomal RNA, 1322 nt
Filed under: Euricania ocella
Lineage: Eukaryota; Metazoa; Arthropoda; Insecta; Hemiptera; Ricaniidae
Description: SSU rRNA
Rfam family: Eukaryotic small subunit ribosomal RNA
Source: RNAcentral